UAGCGCUAGCGUGCCGGCUAGGGAAUUCUGGGACUUGGAGUCCAGGCAUCUUCAAGUUGCCAAAGUUAAGAAUCUCUGCUUUAACAGGUUGCCUUUUCUGUCCAGCCGGUCGGCCUAUUUCUGGACGGAGGGAGUUAUUCGUAGAAAAUAAGAUGCCGACAAGUUCUAUAAGAAGUCAUCUUGCAAAGUUAUCUGAAAUGAGUUUGAACCUGUUGGUCUAAGUGUCCAGUUGUGUCCAGAUCUGCAGCAAAAUGAUUACAGAUACUUACCUUAAAUAUAAAUAUUCACAAACAAUCAUAGUAUCAAUUUUACAUACAAAAAUCAUGUAAAUACUAUUUAUGUCAACAUGUGUGACUUGCAUUUUAUUUUCACUGUAAUUUUAUGUUAAGCACAAAUUUUAUGUUAAGCACAUUACUGAACACUGUGGAAGUACAGAAAGUACUGUUGUAUUGUAGUAUUUUGCCGACUGACCCACCAAAUUACAUGUUGCAUGCAGAUAUACUAAACUCUUUCCCAGUGCCUUGGAUUUUGCUUUUUUAUCUCUAUCUCUCUUCUCCAGAGCAAUGUCUUAUUGAUAAACAACAGGAAGGCAACAGUGGCAUGGAAUGGUUAACUAUUCUCUGACAAGUUCUUUUCCGUUUGGAAGAAAAAGCUGCAAUUUGGAGGCAUUGAACUGGAGCAGAAAAAUGUCUAAUCAAGAAAUGCCAAGGUCUAUUGGUUCCUUUCCCCCCGACCCAGUGGGUAGGUACCAAAAAGGCAUUAAGAACAACUUGCACACGUCUGACAGAAAUAUCUAUAUUGGUUAAAAUCUUUAUU
Notechis scutatus (mainland tiger snake) is the source of this 816-nucleotide non-coding RNA. The record is from RefSeq and is a predicted model, not a curated record. NCBI's taxonomy places the organism in Eukaryota, Metazoa, Chordata, Lepidosauria, Squamata, Elapidae.